GUCCACACGGUAAACGAUGGAUACUCGCUGUUGGCGAUAUACGGUCAGCGGCUUAGCGAAAGCGUUAAGUAUCCCACCUGGGGGAGUACGCCGGCAACGGUGAAAACUCAAAAGGAAUUGACGGGGGCCCGCACAAGCGGAGGAACAUGUGGUUUAAUUCGAUGAUACGCGAGGAACCUUACCCGGGCUUAAAUUGCAAAGGAAUGAUCUGGAAACAGGUCAGUCUUCGGACCUUUGUGAAGGUGCUGCAUGGUUGUCGU
This 260-nucleotide ribosomal RNA is filed under the name uncultured bacterium. RNAcentral's name for it is "partial 16S ribosomal RNA". It matches the Rfam family "Bacterial small subunit ribosomal RNA", at positions 793 to 1055 of the family's 1533-position model. The record is from RNAcentral.